RNAcentral lists this transfer RNA (71 nucleotides) under Loxodonta africana (African savanna elephant). It matches the Rfam family "tRNA". From Rfam's summary of the family: Transfer RNA (tRNA) molecules are approximately 80 nucleotides in length. Their secondary structure includes four short double-helical elements and three loops (D, anti-codon, and T loops). Lineage: Eukaryota; Metazoa; Chordata; Mammalia; Proboscidea; Elephantidae. The record is from Rfam by way of RNAcentral.
GCAUUGGUGGUACAGGGGUAGAAUUCUUGCCUUCCAUACAAGAGACCCAGGUUGGAUUCCUAGCCAAUGCA